CGGGACACGUGGUAUCCUGUCUGAAUAUGGGGGGACCAUCCUCCAAGGCUAAAUACUCCUGACUGACCGAUAGUGAACCAGUACCGUGAGGGAAAGGCGAAAAGAACCCCGGCGAGGGGAGUGAAAAAGAACCUGAAACCGUGUACGUACAAGCAGUGGGAGCACGCUUAGGCGUGUGACUGCGUACCUUUUGUAUAAUGGGUCAGCGACUUAUAUUCUGUAGCAAGGUUAACCGAAUAGGGGAGCCGAAGGGAAACCGAGUCUUAACUGGGCGUUAAGUUGCAGGGUAUAGACCCGAAACCCGGUGAUCUAGCCAUGGGCAGGUUGAAGGUUGGGUAACACUAACUGGAGGACCGAACCGACUAAUGUUGAAAAAUUAGCGGAUGACUUGUGGCUGGGGGUGAAAGGCCAAUCAAACCGGGAGAUAGCUGGUUCUCCCCGAAAGCUAUUUAGGUAGCGCCUCGUGAAUUCAUCUCCGGGGGUAGAGCACUGUUUCGGCAAGGGGGUCAUCCCGACUUACCAACCCGAUGCAAACUGCGAAUACCGGAGAAUGUUAUCACGGGAGACACACGGCGGGUGCUAACGUCCGUCGUGAAGAGGGAAACAACCCAGACCGCCAGCUAAGGUCCCAAAGUCAUGGUUAAGUGGGAAACGAUGUGGGAAGGCCCAGACAGCCAGGAUGUUGGCUUAGAAGCAGCCAUCAUUUAAAGAAAGCGUAAUAGCUCACUGGUCGAGUCGGCCUGCGCGGAAGAUGUAACGGGGCUAAACCAUGCACCGAAGCUGCGGCAGCGACACUAUGUGUUGUUGGGUAGGGGAGCGUUCUGUAAGCCUGUGAAGGUGUACUGUGAGGUAUGCUGGAGGUAUCAGAAGUGCGAAUGCUGACAUAAGUAACGAUAAAGCGGGUGAAAAGCCCGCUCGCCGGAAGACCAAGGGUUCCUGUCCAACGUUAAUCGGGGCAGGGUGAGUC
This 967-nucleotide ribosomal RNA is filed under the name Escherichia coli. RNAcentral describes it as "partial 23S ribosomal RNA". It matches the Rfam family "Bacterial large subunit ribosomal RNA", at positions 418 to 1385 of the family's 2925-position model. The record is from RNAcentral. Lineage: Bacteria; Pseudomonadati; Pseudomonadota; Gammaproteobacteria; Enterobacterales; Enterobacteriaceae.